Molecule: unclassified non-coding RNA, 400 nt
Filed under: soil metagenome
Description: partial contains 5.8S ribosomal RNA, internal transcribed spacer 2, and large subunit ribosomal RNA
Rfam family: 5.8S ribosomal RNA (bases 1-122)
Source: RNAcentral
GAUGAAGAACGCAGCGAAAUGCGAUACUUGGUGUGAAUUGCAGAAUCCCGUGAACCAUCGAGUCUUUGAACGCAAGUUGCGCCUCAAGCCAUUAGGUUGAGGGCACGUCUGCCUGGGCGUCACAUAUCGUUGCCUGAUGCCAGUUUCCUCGUGAUGGGUGACUGUGCAGGGCGAAUGAUGGCUUCCCGUGAGCAUUGUUGCCUCAUGGUUGGUUGAAAAUUGAGUCCUUGGUAGGGAGCGCCGUGAUAGAUGGUGGUUGAGUGACGAACGAGACCCAAUCAUGUGAGACCCCUACCGAAUUUGGCCUUCAUGACCCACAUGCGUAUUUGGAACGCUCAUGACGAGACCUCAGGUCAGGCGGGGCUACCCGCUGAGUUUAAGCAUAUCAAUAAGCGGAGGA